GAUGAACGCUGGCGGCGUGCCUAAUACAUGCAAGUCGAGCGAACAGAUAAGGAGCUUGCUCCUUUGACGUUAGCGGCGGACGGGUGAGUAACACGUGGGUAACCUACCUAUAAGACUGGGAUAACUUCGGGAAACCGGAGCUAAUACCGGAUAACAUUUGGAACCGCAUGGUUCUAAAGUGAAAGAUGGUUUUGCUAUCACUUAUAGAUGGACCCGCGCCGUAUUAGCUAGUUGGUAAGGUAACGGCUUACCAAGGCGACGAUACGUAGCCGACCUGAGAGGGUGAUCGGCCACACUGGAACUGAGACACGGUCCAGACUCCUACGGGAGGCAGCAGUAGGGAAUCUUCUGCAAUGGGCGAAAGCCUGACGGAGCAACGCCGCGUGAGUGAUGAAGGGUUUCGGCUCGUAAAACUCUGUUAUUAGGGAAGAACAAACGUGUAAGUAACUGUGCACGUCUUGACGGUGCCUAAUCAGAAAGCCACGGCUAACUACGUG
This 497-nucleotide ribosomal RNA is filed under the name uncultured bacterium. RNAcentral's name for it is "partial 16S ribosomal RNA". It matches the Rfam family "Bacterial small subunit ribosomal RNA", at positions 28 to 507 of the family's 1533-position model. The record is from RNAcentral.